GGCUAACGCUGGCGGCGUGUCUUAGCCAUGCAAGUCGAGCGGACUUAUGGGGUAACUUAUAAGUCAGCGGCGGACGGCGGAGUAACACGUAGCUAACCUACCCUCUGGACGGGGAUAACCUACCGAAAGGUGGGCUAAUACCCGAUGUAGUCAUCCUGUAUAGGGGUGAUGAAAGGUGGGCUUCUGUUUACAAGCUCAUGCUGGAGGAGGGGGCUGCGGCCUAUCAGGUAGUUGGUAGGGUAAUAGCCUACCAAGCCGAUGACGGGUAGCCGGCCUGAGAGGGUGACCGGCCCGAGGGGCACUGAGAGACGGGCCCUACUCCUACGGGAGGCAGCAGUGGGGGAUUUUGGACAAUGGGCGAAAGCCUGAUCCAGCGACGCCGCGUGGAGGACGAAGCCCUUCGGGGUGUAAACUCCUUUUCUCAGGGAAAAGGAUGAUGGUACCUGAGGAAUAAGCCCGGCUAACUACGUG
Molecule: ribosomal RNA, 471 nt
Filed under: uncultured bacterium
Lineage: Bacteria
Description: bacterial SSU rRNA
Rfam family: Bacterial small subunit ribosomal RNA
Source: RNAcentral